This 234-nucleotide long non-coding RNA is filed under the name Elaeis guineensis (African oil palm). Its description in RNAcentral is "long non-coding RNA (EGUI_LNC081443)". The record is from RNAcentral. Lineage: Eukaryota; Viridiplantae; Streptophyta; Magnoliopsida; Arecales; Arecaceae.
GCCGCAUUGAUUCGUCCUUUUUGUUCAUGAUCGAAGGUCUUUUCGAGGCCAUUCAAAUUUGACGCUUUCCCUCGGUGUUCGAGCUUGGGCCCAAACUUCUCGUUACUUUGAGAAAGUCUAUUUUCUUCUGCUAGUGUUGGGUUCUCCCUUAGAGACUGAGGAUUUUUGAUAAGAGUUUUCUUCUUCAUUGAGACGAGGUCCCUUGUGUCUUAGAUGUAGUUUAUUUUUCCCUUA